AGAUAAAAAAGAAAAACCAAAGAAGGAUAGAAAAGUAAAGGCUAAAGGUAAACAAUUGAAAAAUAUGAAUUUUUAUUCAACCACAAAAAUUAAAAAAAAUUAGGUCGUAUAUUGGUAUCACGUUGUCGUUGUCGUUUGCAUCAUACGAAGACAGAUGGUUUCCAGAUAAUAACUUUAGUAUAAGUAAAUGAAAAUCAAUACAAUUUUAACACAAGGUUUAUAACCACUGAAAGAAGGUUAGGAUUGAUUUUGGGGGUUAUGGUCCCAACUGUUUAGGAAUUAGGGGCAAACAAAUGGGCCCAAAUAAGCAUUUUUGUAGUUUCCAGUCAAUAACUUGUGUAUGAAUCUCUCUGAAAUUAUACCAUAAGUUUUCAUACGAAAAAGGGAUGGUUAGGAUUGACUUUGGGGGUUAUAGCUCAAAUCAUUUAGGAAUUAGUGGCAAAAAAGGGGGAAAACAAGGUUUUCGUUGAGCCUUUGACUUUAAGUCAGUGGCGUCAGUGUCCACAAAUAUUCACUCUGUGGUUAAAGUUUUUGAAAUUUUAAUAACUUUCUUUUACUACCCUGGAUUUGUACCAAACUUGGACAGAAGCUUGUUUAUGAUCAUAAGAUAGUAUCCAGAAGUAAAUUUUGUAUAAAAAUAAACCAAUUUUUUUUGGUAUUUUACUUUUAAAUAGACUUAGAAUUUCUGCCUUGAAACAUUACAUUCACUCUGUGGUUAAAGUUUUAUUAAAAUUUUAAUUACUUUCUUAAACUACCUUCGAGCACUGGGUUCUGUGGAACCGUUACAAAUUUUUCUAGUUUCUAAAGCAGUCAAGGGGAGGUCAUCCAAUCCCAUUUAAAAACAACAAUGUUUGAUAACCUCCCUAACACUGCUUGUAAAUUAUUUAUUAAGAAAUGAUGAUUGUCUUGAGGUGAUUAGCUGUCAAUUUAUUUUUAGAAGUUACAUUAAUUAAUAUUAAUUUUAGCCUUGACUCCGCAUUUCAUUUUAUAUUUUAAGGCUUUCAUGAUGUAUUUAAAUGGGUAAUUACAUGUAUGUUGCAAACGUUAUUAGAAAUUUGAAUUGAAAUAAUGACUAUAUCUUGAGGGAAAGAAUUUAUUUUGGAAUAAGGGAAAGGGGGUGGUGAAAAACAAUUUUUUGGAAAGAUUAGAAUGUUCUAAACUUUACUUAGACACCGGCCUCCUAACAACAGACAGUUUAGCUACUGUUAAAUGUAUUCACACUGAAAUUAGUUCCCUUUGUUCAUGUAUGCACAUAAAUACACAUAUAAACUGAAAAAAACUGGGUAUAUUGGGAGCAGUUCAUUCAAGAAUGUAUUCAUAAGGUGUGUUGAUGUGCAGGCUUUUAAAAAACAUUUUGAGUUGGUAACUGUAUUGAUUCACAGUAUAAUUGACAACUGUCAUUAUCACUAAACAAUCAGAGACAAGGACCUUUAAUUACAAUGCCCUUCUAAACUGCCAAUCAAAUUGACCACAUUACCUAUCUACCUCAGUCUUAAUAUUUACAGACACUCAUAGACAUAUAAUUCUAAUACACAAGUAUUUGACCUCAUAAUUGAAUACAACUUGUAUAUAGAGUUUGAUAUUAAGGAUGAUAAUUUUAUUUAUUGCCAAUUGCUUUUGAUCUACAUUACAUAAAGUGAUUCUGCAAAUUAUAUCUGAAAGAUAAAUGAUUAAUGGAUUAACAAGAUCUUAGAAAAAAAAUGAAAUAUGAAUAUAAUAUGAAUAAAUAAAAGUAUUCAAGUAGGCCUAUAAUUUACUUGAUAUAUUUCAAAAUAUCGUAAUUAAUCAACAAUUAAAUUAGUAACUUUUUUUAUCAGGAAUUGGCUGAAAAGUUUAGAAUUUAACUUUUUAAUUAUAACAAACAAUUGUUUAUUAGUUUAUUUCCCAUCAAUCAUUAUUUAGUCAUUUGAAAUUUUAUUAGAAGUGAAUAUAUAUUUAAUUUUGCAAUCAGAAAGAAUCACAUUUCAAUAGAUAAGUUUUUUAAUGGUUUACGUUGAAAAAGUCAUUUUGCAAUGCCCUGUGUUGAAAAAUCUUUAAAAAUUGAUCAAAGGCUCUUAAAUUUUAAUCUUCAAUGCAUAUAAAUCUGUUUCACUUACAAAAUGACAAAACAACAUUUAAAAUUUUUUUUGUUGACACUUUGGUUUGAGCUGUUGAUCAGAUUUAUUCUUACAAGGAUAGUUGGUAACAUUUACUAGAAGAACUUUUGCAUUUUUUCCUUUCUUUUAACAUGUUCAGAGGCAACAUAAUUCGAUAAGAAUAAACUGCGUUUAAAUAAAAUGGCAAAUUAAGAACCAUAUUUUUUAAUUUGAGCUCAUUUUAUCCUCAUACUGAAAAAGCAAGUUUCCUUCUAAAGACCUGCUGUAAAUGCAAUUUUCAGCAAUAGUGCUUUAUAAAUGUUCAUUUUUCCCCACCAUACCUUAAUAUGAAAUAAUUCAAACUACUCUUCUAAUCUUUCCAUGAGUGAUUUCAUCACUUUGAUUUUUUUUUUUUGGGGCGGGGGAGUUUGCAACGGCAUAGUGUAUUGCACUAAAGCAAAAAAAAAUGAAUAUAAAUUCAAUUCAUAUAACCAAUUUUAAGUUCUUUGAUUACAGUUAUUCUGUGGCAGAAACCUAUUAUGUGUGAAAUAUUGAAUUAAAAUCCAAAUUCAAACCUGUAUCAAGCGUGAAAUUGUGUCCAUUUUGGCCCAAAUUUUUCAGGGUUGGACAUCUGCAGUCAUAUCAAGCUGCACUCAGCAAAGCAAUUUAUUAGUUUUUGAUUUUAUAAAACUACAAAAAAUCUAGUACAGUUGAAAAGUUUAUACUUCAGCUACCCUAUUUGUGUAGAUAUCAUCUAGUGAAUGUAUAGCUAUUGCACUAAUGAUGUUAUUGGAAAAUGAAUGCAGAAUGUGCAACUUAUUUACAAUAGCCUAAGGCUUGCUUAAUAUAUUUUUACCUCAAGUACUUCUCUAUCUGUGUUUUGUCAGUGCAUGCAGCAUAGUGCAGAGAUGUGUAUGUUCUUUAGAUCCAAUUUAUGAAUAUUUCUAUCUAUAUCAUAUCUUGUUCAGCUAUUUUCUUUCUCAUUCGAAUUUUCUCUGGGUGUCAAAUUUAGGACUGUUUAUACAUUUUAAAUUAAAUCAGUACCGUUCUGUCACUUUUCAGGCAAUUUUUUUGUUUCACAAGAUAAUGCAUUUUAAGCAUUAUUUCCCAAACACGUACCGGUACACUUUGUAAGGCAUUGGCACAUCUCUUUUCCAUGGUGCCUUUUUAACCCUGUUCCCUUGGACAUGGUCUAAAGAAUUUUAAAUUAUGUCAGUUUUAGUCCGGCUGAUCGGUAAAAAAAUUGCACAAAUAAUGAGGAAAGCACCAAAUUUUACAUGACGGUACAUUUUUGUGUACUGAGCAUCAUAAGCUAUGGACCCACCCUCAAAAUUCAAUAUGGCGGCUUAUUUCAAGAUGGCCACCAUACAUUCUAAAAUAUUUUGCAGUAUUACACAAACUACAGUGAAUUUGAUGCUGGAAACACAAAAUUCAACAUAUUUAAAUGAUUUGGUGUACUUAGCAAGAUUUUGUUUUGAUCUAUUUUUGAAAUUCAAAAUAGCAGCUACUUUCAAAAUGGCUGCCUUGAAAAAAAAAUGCAUAUAUUCAUUUUUGAGAAUUGAACUGAAUUUUAUUCAUUUUAUUUAAGUAUAGUGUCAUUUAGUCCUUGUUCCAGUUCUGUCCUUUUGAUUUUGCCAGGCUUUUCAUUGCAUGUACAAAGUAGUAGCUUUCAUAAUGAUGUAGAGCUGAAGAAGUAGCUUUCAUUAAAAGCUGCAAUAUUUUUUAUACGCCCGUCAAAAUUUUGACCGGACGUAUUAUGGUAUACAAAUGUCCGGUGUUGUCGUCUGUCGUCCGGUAUCGUCUGUCCGUCUGUCCGGCGUAAACAUGUCGCACCGUAACUUGAGAACGACUUAUCUAAUUCAUGAAACUUUAUAUAGUUGUUUCUUAUGAUGGUCAAAUAAUCUGUAUACUUUUUGAUGAAAAUAAGAUUUAAACUUUUUGAGUUACGGCACUUUAUAACUAAAACAGGGGUGUGUUUUUUUCACAUGUCGCACUGUAUCUCAAAAACGAUUCUUGAUUAUGACUUAAAACUUUAAACACUUCUUAGUUAUAUUAAUCUCAAUAUCUGUAUACUUUUUGGUGAUGAUUCAAAAUUUCAUUUUUGAGUUAUUGAGUAUUUUGUAAAAAAAGGGGGAGGUUUUUGUUACAUGUCGCGCCAUAUCUCAUAAAUUAUUUAUGAUUAUUGCUUAAAACUUUUCACACUUCUUUGUUAUUUAACUAAAGUCUGUAUAUUUUUGGUUUUGAUUCAAAUUUAUUUAGUGAUAUUAGUUUUUGUAAAAAAAAAAAAGAUGUCCCGUGUCAAAACAAUAUAUGGUUAUUGCUUAAAGUUUCUUAGAACUAUUAUAUUAUGCAUUAUUCAACAAGACGUCGGGUGUAUAUGGCUCAGGCGCAGUGUUUUUUUUAUUUUACAUGUUGGCUUAUCUCAAAACGAUUUAUGAUAUGCUUAAACUACACAGUUUUUUUCCUUAAUCAAGAUCUGUAUACUUUUUGGUGAUUAUUAAAAUUUUAUUUUGAGUUAUUGAGUAUUUUGUAAAACAGGGAGGGUUUUUUACAGUGCGCCGUAUCUCAAAAAUAAUUUAUGAUUAUUGCUUAAAACUUUACACCUUCUUUGUUAUAUUAACUAAAGAUCUGUAUAUUUUUGUUUUAUUCAAAAUAUUUAUUUUGGUAAAUUAGUUUUUUGUAAAAAAAAACAGGGGGGGGGUUCACAUGUCCCACGUGUUCUAACAAUAUUGGUAUUGCUUAAAACUUUCUCAGAAACUAUUUAUGAUUAUUGCAAAGACUUCCACAUAAGCGUGGGGGCUAUCAUGGCUCAUGGGGCGCAGCUGUUUAUUGUCUUAGGUCACACAUAAAAGGUGUGAUUUGAGAUUUAUCUGCCGUAAGAUAUUAUUCAUAGCCUAUCUUAUGUCUUGGUUUACAAUAUUUUGCAAUUUGAGAUAUUAUACUGUGAUUUGAGAAUUGUAUAAACACAUAUCAAUGAAAUGGCAUGAAUUGAGGACAACAAGGACAAGAACAUUGAAAAGGCAUAAACUGAAUCACUUUGGUAUAUGGAGAAAUCCAUAGCUGAAAACACUUAAUCAGAGGACAGCUCAGAGAUCUCUAUUUAACAAUUGUACUAAGAAUUUUUAGCAGAUGGGAAAUCUAAUGCUCAAAGAACAGCUGAGAUUGACCCCAAUAUAAAACAGAGCGAAGCGCAAAUUGAUAAAUAAAGGCAACAGUAGUAUAACGCUGUUCAAAACUCAUAAAUCCAUGAACAAAAAACAAAAUCGGGUUAACAAACUAAAACCGAGAGAAACGCAUUAAAUAUAAGAGGAGAACAACGACACAACACUAAAAUUAACCACACAGAAACGGACAAGCUCAGACAAUACACGAGAAUAACAAUAUAACUUCAAACACAAUACAUGAUUUGGGAUAGAAAGUACUGACACGUCUUAUGAAUGUGAAUACACUCAAAAAUAAGGAAAACAAACGAGCAGUUUAAAUUAAGACACACAGAAACGAACAAUAAUAUAACAUGGCCAAUUCUGAAUUGGUACAGGACAUUUUAAGGAAAAAUGGUGGUUGAACCUGGUUUGUGGCAUGCCAACCUCGCCUUUAAUGGCAUGUAAAAUAUAUAAUUGAAAUGACAACAUAAUAUUACAGGACUACAAUACAAAUAAAUAGGAGAACGUAUUAGACAAAGAAGCACAUGAUUAAUAGAUAACAAAAAGCAUCAGGUUUACAAUUCAAUACGCCAAAAACGUGCCUCGUCCACACAAAAAUAUGUGUUGGUCUCAUAACGAUGCAAGCUGGACAGAAAGGGGCAAUGAAUACUGAUAAUGAACAGUUGGGGGCAAUUUCAGCAGUCUGAACACAGGAUAGACCACAAGGCUAGUGAUAAGCGCUUGGUGGAAUUGACAGUGAGAACAAUGAGAUAUUCAAUGAUGUGGUGAUAAGCCAACAUUUGACCUGAUCCAGUACGACACAAUUACAUCAAAAGUACAUAUUAACAAACUCCAAGCCUUGGGUCUUUUCCCAAUUAGUUAACAUAAACUAUCAACUGCACCAACUCUGUUGAAGGCAAAUUUGGUGUCUUAACAUAUAGUCAGAAGUCCUAUGUCAGGGCCCUUCGCCCUUCAUGAGACAGUUCAAUAUAUUCAACAACAACCUCCAUUUAAGAACAGAAACAUCUAGUACUGAUCAAGGAUACCAGCAAAUGGCUUAUGUGUCUUCUUACGCACACGUACAACUUACUAUAAGUCAAUCAUAUUUCAUUCAGAGCAGAGCAGCACACCAUUACAGAAACAAUUGACUGCAAGUGGAUCUAUCAAGUUUCUCCAAUGCUGACUUCAGUGCCUACUAACAGUACCAUCCCUGUCGAGUCCUUUGGAAAAUGAGGUGCGUCACCUCACUCAAAUUGUCAUUUAACUAGCUGGUGUUAUGCUUUAAACUUGUCAGCGAAACCGUGGAUUGGCCAAUCAAUAUUACCUUGGGCCUUCUGAUCAAUAUAAUCGUUGAAGAUCAACAGAUCAGUGGAAGAUCACCUGAUCAAUAUACACGUGGAAGAACGCCAGGUAGAAAUACAUCCAAGUUUAAUGCCUAUCGACCAGCAACACCCCCCACCAAGCCAGAGAUGAUAUAGUCCCUGAGAACAAGGGCCAGCAUCUCCACGGACAAACUCUAGAAAUCUCGGUUAUUUCAGGCAAUGGUCACCUUCACCAGGAUACAGAGCAAAUCAAAACACACACCCAACAAGGGAGUCUUUAAACAGCAACAGGUCGGGCCAGUAGGCCAACGCUCGACUUCCAAGUCAUUUUGCCUUGAAACACCAUCUCAUUACAAAACCGAACAUAAGCCCACGUCUUCGUCCGAUAUUGUCCUCAGACGAACCAUUGGAAAAAGCCUAGCAGUACCAGGUAUUAUAUAUGAUCAGAAUGUGAGCUUGAAUGUGGCAACUGUUGCAAUGUUAAUUUCCAGCAGAUAUUGAGACAAUGUUAUACUUGGGCUAGAUAUUUUGGGCACACUGGGCGCAGUGAUAAAUCUGAGUGCUCCCAUGCUUUUUAUCAACAACAAAGUGAUAAAUGUGGCAUUUGUUAACAGUGGAGGUGAGAUCUCAACUCAGCAAGUUUGCAUAAAACGAACAAUCGCAGUUCUGCCAAACUCUGAAAUUAUUAUUACCAUUAAAACUAAUAAAAGUGCUGACUAGGAGUUCAUUUAAGAACCAUGCCCGCUGACGAGUUGGAAAAGGAAAUAGUUAUCCCUUAACCAUUUUAAAUGAGGGCAAUCGUCACAUCCGCCUGAAGAAAGGUACAUCUAUAUUGGUUACAUAGAAUGAUUUGACGAUAUAAUGAGUACGGCAGACGAAAAUCCUAUAAGUGACGUAAGACGUGGCAUUAAAGAGACAUGAGACAGUGUGCCCUCGGCACUGCCUCAAAGUUCUAGUAAGUUACCUAAUAUGCCACCACAUUUAACCAACCUAUACCAACGUUCAAUCGACUCACUUCGACCUAUUUCAUUCCAACCAUUAACGUAACUGCAAUUACGAUCAUCCCAAUAUGGCGGACGCAAAUUUAAGUAAAUUUUAUAUUGCCAAUUUCUCCAACUUACUUUCAGGUUUGUAUUAUGUCUGGAAACAUCUUUAUAAGCAUUGCCAUUGAAAUAUUUUUCAUACAUGAUGGAAAAGCAACAAGAAGAAUGAAAAUCGAGAUACAAAUGAUGAUCGUAACUUUUAUUUAUUUAAUUUUUAUCAACGAUGAUCGUAAUUUUUAUUUAAGAUGAUCGUAACUGUUUGUUCCAACAAAGCAUUUUCUGAUAAACAAAACUUUCUGGUAUGUGGAAAGUGUACAUUAUUAUUUAUAUGCUUAUUUGUGAUAAUAAUGAGAACGUCACUAAGGGAGGGUAAUGUGCAAUUGGUAAGUGCACAAGUGGUUAUGAUUUCCGAUUUCAUUCCUUUUAUCAAGUUCAGUAUUGAAACGCAUUGGUGGUUAACAACUUAUAUUGAUGAAAAAUUUUGUCCUGCAUUUUUUUAAGUUGAAAUAUCUAUCCUGCGUUUUUAUUUUUCACUCUAUACUGUCCUGAUUUUUUUUACCUCACUUGUCAUCCUGCCCUUUUGAUUGGCCAAGUUGUUCAUCUGACCUAUGUUUUACUCAAAACUCCUGCCUUUUUCCUCCAUAUUUUACCCCUCCCUUUAAAAAUCAAAUGGUAGCUCCCUUAUCGAUAAGUUUGGUAAACAACUUCUUCGACUAACUUCAAUAAUACAUGUCAAAUACCGUAAGUGUUAGGAUUUUAAUAUAGCUUGAAAAAAACAGGGAAUCUAAUAUGAACUUGUUUACCAUCUAUUUCAGCUUUUCCUUCUUUAAAUAAAUAGCCAACCCAUGGUAAAUAUAGAUAACAGUAGUCCAGUGGCAGAUCCAGAGACUUUUAUUAAGGAGGUGGGGACUGGCUGCCUAAGAGUAGUCCUGCUACAGUCAUGCUUCCUUGAUUCCCUAUAUAAUCAACCACAUUUUUCACACAAAAAGGGGAUGCACGCACCCUGGCCCUCCCUCUAAACCUGUCUCUGUAGUCUACCAACAUUUAAUGGUCAAAGUUUGAUAAAGAAAAUAUAAGACUAGGCAACAAGUAAAAACACAUGAAAACAAUUCCAUUUGAAAUGUUAAUUAAAUAACUAAAAAGAAAAAAAAUAUUGAGGACAUUUGCAUAUAAGCCUGCUAAUUUAACCUAAUGUCAUUUCUUUUUGACAAAUAUAGCGGUGUUCAUUAAUGCUCAUUUUGUUUACUUUUAAAAUCAUACUAUUUUCAGUAAUACCAAUAUAUCUUGACUGAUAAAUUUGAUAUUCAUUUAAAGAAAAAACACAUUGUAAAUUUCGAGAUACAAUCAUCUUUAAAUAAAAGCAAGUCCAAGUUACGAUCAUCCAUAGACGAAGUUACGAUCAUCAUCGUGUUUUUUUAAUCUCAAUUUUCGUUCUUCUGGUUGUUUUUCUAUCAUUUAGGAAAAACUCAUUCAAUGGCAAUGCUGAUUAAGAACUUUCUUGAUAUAAAACAAAUCUGAAAAUAAGCUGUUAAAGUAGAGAAAUUGACUUUCUAAAAUUUCCCUAAAUUUGUGUCUGUCAUAUUGGGAUGAUCGUAAUUGCAGUUACGAUCAUCACGUUGACACCAGUCAAUAAUAAGAAUGAAAUUUAAAAAACGAUGUUGGGAAAUGUCACUCCGUGUUGAUGUAAUGUGGUAAAUCACACUGAUAUCAAACAAUAAGAUUAAUAGGUUUAUGCAGUGGACUUAAUUGUUUUAUAAUAAUGAACCAGAAAGAAUUUUUAGCAAAGCUCAAAUUGACCUUGACCUCAAUUUUUGAGGUCAUAGGUCAUUGAUCUCAAAUCAAAAGACCACAGGUCAAUCACUUGUAUGGUUGUGGAGAAAUACUGAUUUUAAAUACAUAAGCCGUAAGGAGAGAAAGCUCCUAUAACUCUUCGACUUAAAAAUAGGUUGAAGUUGCGCCUUAUUGUAAACAGUUACUUGGCAAACACAUCAUAUCAUUUACUGUAACAGUUUCUUUUGAAUAACGAUAACAAGUAAAAUUCAAAAUUUAUAACAUGACCUUGACCUUUGACCUUGACCUCAAUUUCCUUCAAAUGGAACAAGGACUUCAUAGAAAAAAAUUGUAGACCUCUCCGACUUAUAACCCAUGAAUUGAUUCAACAUAUCGCCUAUCUUAAAUUUUCAAAGGGAAAUAACUCCCAUAAUGUGUCUUCCAUCACUCCAUCAAAUUAAACAAUCAAUGGAGCAAACAAUUUGGUGAAAACAUUUGUUAAAAUCUUUUAUGGUUUUAGAGAUAUAGCGAUUUCAAGAAAAAGGGGAUGCGCGGAGAUAACUCCUAUAAGAAUAAGUGUUCGGUCACACAGGGUGAGUUUUGAAACCCCUAUUACUGUACAAAUCAUUGGCCAAAAAUCCAUUCGAUAUGUUGUAAGACAAAAAAGCAUCUCAGACGGAAGAAGAAAAGAAAAUAAUCAGAAGAAAAACAAAAGGUCUUUCCACGAAACAAUAACAUGUUACAUAUUGAUUAACAUUUUGAUUUUCACUAUUGUUUUUUGUAUAUGCAGCAUUUUUUCAAAUGUUUGGGUUCUAGAAAUAACCAAACUAUUUUAUUUAUAUUUUAAAUUUAAGUGAUAACAAAUUGAAUUUUUCUGAGUGGCCCAUAGCUGAAAUCAAAGGGUAUACAACCAAGAACUACUGUGCAAAGUCUCAUGCUUUCCUCAUUGAGUGAGCAGUUCUGCUCUACAUCUGCACCAAUCCGGACCACUAAUUAUAAGUUUUUUAUUUUUUUUAUGCAGUUAUAUAAACAUAGGGAAAUCUCAUUUCCUUGGAGAAUAUUUGGCAUGUCGCCUCAGUUAUGGUCUUAUGACUUUGAAAAUUUUGCACAGUCUGUUAAAGUUUGCAAUAAGGUCAGUUUAUAGGAUAGUUUUGCGCUAUAGCACAGUAUCUUCAAUUGCUCAGUACUGUUCAAUAACACAAUAGCAAGUAAUCUUAAAUUGCAAAGAAUUGCACUAUUGCAAGAAAUAUCCCAUUGCACAUUAUUGCACAAUUAGCGCAAUACUGCCCAAUAGCAAGAAAUUUCCAAUUGCAUAGUAUUAAUUGUGCAAUAGCAAGAAAUCUCCAAUUGCACAGUAUUGCACAAUAGAAAGAAAUGUCCAAUUGCACAGUAUUGCGCAAAAGCAAGAAAUAUACAAUUGUACAGUAUUGCACAAUAGCAAGAAAUCAUCAAUUGAAAUUUAUUACAAAUAUUUCAACCCAUUUCAAAUUAUAAGAUCUUUUACAAUGUUUAUUUUGUGUCAGAAACCUACAAUAUGAUUUGAUUACAAUCCAAAUCCAGACAGUAUCAAUAUUGUGUCCAAACUUGCACCAACUGUUCAAUGAAAUAACAUGUAAAAUAAAUUUCUUACUAGUUGACAAUCUUAAUCUGGAGUGAACCUUAAGGGUAAUUAUAUAUUACAGUUUUAUAUUCAUCACUUCCAACUAAAGAAAUCAGUAAGUAUUGGUCAAACCCAAAAUUGUUUUCUAAAUAGGCAUUUAUGCUUUACAUGUGCUACAAGACAAGAUUGAAGAAAAUAAAUAUGUUUCAUCUUACCAUUGUAACAACUCUUCUGCAUGUAUUUAGUGCUUAGAACUUUAUAUGUUCUCUUGAUUGCAGCCAUGUAAUGUUUAUUAUAUUUGUAAACUGAAAAAAUAAUACUAAUCCAGCACUAAAGAGCAGUUUGUUUUGCCUUCACCUACCACAUCAUUUUCUAAUAAGUAUGGUUUUUGAUUGAAGUAAAAAUGGACAACGUGACCAUUUUACCUCAUUCACACUAUAUAGAUUUUAAUAUAAAAAAGAAGAUGUGGUAUGAUUGCCAAUGAGACAAUUGUCCACAAGAUUAUAAAAUGACACAGACAUUAACAACUAUAGGUCACUGUAUGGCCUUCAACAAUGAGAAGAGCCCAUACCGCAUAGUCAUUACUUAGUCCUCUAUUAAAUUGUCUCCAUGCCCCAAUAUUGCAUUAAGUGUUUCCCUAUAUUUUCUGUCUGUCUUUCCAUCUUUUAUGAAACUGGUACACAAUGCACACAGAAUUCCCAAUUUGGCAGUGUUUCACCUACGGUUCUAGAAUUAAGCUCCUUUAUAUCUUGGUAAAUUGCUUUUUUUUACGUAUCGACUUUCUAAAUAAUGUUUGUCUAAUUUAAAAUGUAUGAAACUCAUACACAAUGCUAAGAACCAAAUCUCACAGAGCUGGUAUUGGGUAGUAAUAGUACUGCAACUGACAUCUAAAAAGACGCUUAGUUAACGAGUUUAAUGGUGCGGAAUGACACACGGCUGCAAAUUGUUUUAAAUGAUAAUAAUAUCUAUAUUUUAUUUCCGUCGGGUCGUAAAGUUUCUAUGGUCACAAUUUUUUGUGUUUUAUCCCUUUAAUGGGGGUACCCCACAAUUUACGGUUUGGGUAGUUACCUUAAAUAUAUUUUUUGGUUAAUUUCUCGCUAUUUUCAUAAAUAUUUUCUAUGCACAUUAUCAAGGAUCAUUCGGAAUGAUGAAGACAUAAAUAUUACCAUCUCCAAGUAAAACUUUCAAACUUAAAGAUAGCUGUUUUUUAGGUGAAAUUUAACGCGUUUUUCUUUGAAAACGAGAAAACAUAUGAUUCAAAGUAGUAUUGACAUUUGAGAGACAAAACAUAUUAUUGGAUACUGCAUGCAAAUUUUGUUGGGAAUUCCAAAAUUUUGUCAAAACUCAAAAUAAAAACAUCAUUUGUACCUUUUUUAAUUACGGAAAUUUCCUAUCCGUCAAUCAGCUCCACCAUUUAUUUUUUUCCUCAAUUUGAUAGUUUCGAUGUGAUUAUGUAGAUUUUGUAGGGAUUAAUUUAUUUUUGAGUGAUUUGAAUAUAUAUAGUAUUCUUUCGGUAUUUUCUGUAAAGUUAUAUUUUGUUAAUAAAAUUUUGACUUUAUAUAAAAGUUAACCAAAUCCGGGUUACACUAAAGACCUGAAAGUGGACCUGAAAAGACCUGAAAAUAUACGACUAAAAUUAUUUAAAUUGCAAUAACUUUUUUUAUUUUUGAAUCAAAUUUCUUCAAGUUGGAAUUUUAUUAAUUGUAAAUAUUCAUAUUUCAUUAAAAUUCAAAUGUUUUAAAUCAAAAACAAGUUUUUAAUGUAAAAAGUUGGACCUGAACGGAGAAAUGAAAAGACCUGAAGGGACCUGAAAAUCUAUGGUCGGACUAAUUUUAACUUUAAUAACUUUUAUAAAAUUCAGUGGAUAUCUUUCAACUUUAGAUUUUGUGAAACAAAAAAUUCAAUAUAAUGAUAAUAUAAAUAAAAAAAUAUAUGAAAAAUAUGGCUGGGAUGUCAAAACUCGGACCUGAACGGAAAAUUAAAAAUCUGAAUGAUCCUAAAAUUCCGCUAAUAUUUUUUUAAAACGAAAAUAAUAAACAUAGACGAAACAUGUUGUUGUUAACUUUUCGUGUUCGAUGUCAUUUGGUAUCUUGUGCAGAUCUGUCUCAUUGGGAUCACACCCCAUCGUCUUUGUAAUUUUUAUUGAAGGAAGAUACUAAUAUGAUAGUUCGUGUAACAAGAUAUAACGUUAGUGAUAAUUAUAAAAACUAUAUUAAACCCCAAAUAAACUCCUACUACAACAACCCGUUGAUGGAUAAGUUGAGAUCUAUAAUAGAUUAUAAAAGUAAAUUAUUUUUUUAUAACUGACUUGGUCCAAAUAUGGUCUUCAUUUGUUUUUGUUGUUGUUAUAUGUCACAAACUGUAAAGUUUAUAUGGCAAAAAAACUUUGAAUUAAAUUGAAUUGAUAAUCCAAUUAAAAGAUUAAAGUAAACUGUUUAUUUAGACUAAUGAUCCAAUUAUCACCUAAUAUCAAUACAAGGUGUGAAUUACAACCGUCACACGUUCAUGUAAUUAAAACUGACAUUCCAAUCGACGAACACGCGUCUUUAAAUAAGAUAUGGUUUAUGGGGAAGCAAUACUAUUAUUUAUUUUUUUCAUUUUUAGGUUUAAGACCUGCUUUAAUAUAUAUUAAUGAAAUUUAAGCAAGUUGAAUUAGUUUGAAUAAUUUCAACGGGCAAUUAACUGAUCCUUUCAUCAUCAAGACAGCAAGGUUAUUUGUAUUCAUUUAUUUUCCUGUAUUAAUAUAAAGUCAUUCGUUCUCUUCAAUAUACUUUUGUCUAAAAUAAAAAAAACAAAUAUAAAAAAAUAAUUUGUGCGAGUUUAAAUACAUCUUCCCCAAUGUUUAACCUCAGAGCAAUUAAUAAUGCAUGCAAGUGGUCGGGGGAAAAGUACUAUUGAAGAUUCGCAGAGAUUUGGUGUGUGACAAGGUGAUGGUAAAACCAACUUCUCUUAAUAUUCUGCUUUCCGUGGGCGAAUCAUCAGUGAUGUUAUGAGACUUGCACCAGAAGGCAAAAUUGGUGCGUCUUUAAAUUAGAUUGAUUGAUUGAUUGUUGGUUGCUUAACGUCCAGUGACAAUAUUUCAUGCAUGUUCAGGACGAGAAAAGUUUAACAAUAAAAACAAUAGGUGGUUUUUAUCAUAAUAGAGGCCAUUCGGGAUGAUGAUCGAAAAAUUUAGACUGCACUGGAAAAUGAUGGUAUAUUGGAUUGGGACAGAAAUUUUCCAUUGCAACAGGCCACCUUCGGACUCCUCAAAGAGUUGAUGCAAGGGUUUUAACAUGCAAAGAAUGUGACACUCCCUUUACACGAGGCAUCGGACUUAACGUCCCCAUUCUGACCGGACGUGACUGGGAACUUGAUACAUGUGCAAUUAAGUAAAACAGUUACUGAAAAAUUAGAAUUUGAACUUGCUGUCAGUUCAUUAAUAACGAUUGUUAGUGAUGUGAUUUGUUCUUCCGUAAGAAAAGGCUUUCUCAUGUAACACAUCCUCUAUAUAUACCGAUCAAUUUUACACAGUGGGGCCAAGGGAUAUGAAAUAAAGAGUUUAGCUCUGAACUCAAUUUAGGGGAUGCCAUAUCUGCUGCAGGAAAAUUGAAGUCUAUGUUAAGACUUUCAGAAUUACACCAAGGUGUGUCUGAAAAUAUUAAGGAUACAUUAAAAGAAGAACAACUACUUCACCCUGCCACCAGUGCUCUUAUGAGCUAUGUCCUCGUUUUGGUAUUUCUAUGGAAAUGCAUAGCUUUUUAAUAGAUAUCGGAAGAUGUGGUAUGAGUGCCAAUGAUACAACACACCAUCCAAGUCACAAUUUAUAAAAGUAAACCAUUAUAGGUCACGAUCCGGUCUUCAAGACGGAGCCUAGGCUCAAAAGUUCAUUUGUUAGUUAAUUGAUAAAAAUAACACAAAGGCGCUUCUGAACCGUAUCUUGUCCCUAAAGAUAACAAAAAUUCGUAAAUGGAUGGCUAUUACAAAAUCAAUCGUUUCUGUAGCAACAUUCGCCCCAUUACAUUUUGGAUUGGCAGCGCAGAUACAUCAUGCAUAUGCAUAUGGGAAUAUGGGUCACUAACAUUGAUCGAAACUUUGUACUCACAUUUCUUUUGUGUUUCCUAUGCAAAGGUAAGACUAUAUCUGACGAGUUUGACCGAAUCAUGACGGUAUUUACGCUCCAGAUAGCAUUUGUACUCAAAACUGUGUUUGCUUUGAACAAACUCUGUCCUACGCCGAACUUGUUCUUAUAAAAAAGGGAAGUGUCUUGUAAUGCUAAUGUACGCGUACUGAAUCCGCAUAUGAUGACUAAGAGAUUGAUUCAUGUCCCUAUUUUAUGAAUACUUGAGCUAUUGUGUGUCACUUUUAAAAGUUAUAUAAGGACCAUGACUGAUUUUGAAUUACAACAUUAGAAAAUUGGCAUUGCAUUGUAUAUUUUUUCAUCCUUCCCUUAAAAAAUUAAUGAGUUAACUUUUUUACCAGGAUUAUCCCACUUAAAAAAAUGUUCAUGCACCAAACUGACUUUGUUUUGCACUAUUUUUUUAAACCUCGCAUUCGCCUCGUGUGACUAUAGUAUAUUUGUGUUUAACUGCCCUGUCUAGACUUUUCAAAUACACAAUUUGUGUUUAUCUAUAACUAGAUACUAAUUUUCACAAAAUACACAACCUUUAAGAUGCAAAAUUAAAAACACUGUUUCAGCGCUUAAAUUUAGUUUUUUUCAAAGAUAGAAAAAAUAUUGAAAUAAUUGUGUUUUAUACUUUAGAAAAUAAUUUUGUAAUAUACUAUAGUGAAAUACUAUACACAAUAUGAAAGUUUAUGGAUGUGGAAAGGUCAAGGCCACUUCUUCUUUUGCUAUGUCUUAAAUGGAAAAAAAUCAGAAGGUUCCAAAUCAACGCCAUUUUUUAAUGGCAGCUUUUCAUAUAAGUAGUCAAAUUUGUCGUUUUAACAUCGUUUAUACCAUAUGCUUAUGAUUGAAUCGUUUUUGUAGCAUUCUAUUGAAUAAAUAUCAGAAUAUUUCUCCUUUUUGUCCUUGUGGUUGAAAUGUUGAUAUUUUUAGGUCUGACCUUUGACCUCAAUUUCACAAAAUUGUGACCACUCUGGAUUUUUACGACCCAACUUUUCUUAUUAUACACGUUUUCCUCUUUCCAUCGAUAUAUAAUUUAGGUGUGUGUUCUUCCGGACCAUUAAAGUUUUAAAAAAUGAACUCUGGUUGCAGUACUAUAAGUCACAUACUGUUCUAGAGUUGUUCCCUUAAGGCUUUUUUAACUUGGAGAAUGGAAUUGAGUUUUGUUUUCCGCACUCUAACUGAAUAGUUUGACUCAUUUAAAGUUUAUGAAACCAUGAUCAUGUUUUUCAUUCAGGGCAAUGUGAUUUUCAUUUAACUACUAUUAAGGUCAUCAAUGCUCAGUUUAAAUAAGCAAGUAAAUUUAACCCAGGGAUUAAUACAUAUCUCGAGCUGCAAAACUUGUACUUAAUUGUUUAUUUCACAUUCAUACUUGUCCUAAAGACACACCAUUGACCACCAUUAUUUUGCAAACAUUUAUGAGUGUUGUUGUCUUAAAUGGUGAUAUAUUCCCAGGGGCGGAUUUAGGCCGGGGAGUGGUGGGCGUGCGCCCCCUAAAAUUUGCAAAGCGUGGGUUGUCCUCAGCAUAACAAAAUAUUUGUUUAGACGACAAAAAUUAAUGUCGUCGCAUUCCAUCUGUUUUAAUAUUCAAACAGUAUUAUUAAAGUUUAACAGAAUCAGGAACAUAUAUAUUGAGAUAAACUGUUCCCAGACAGAAUCAAUUUGAUUACUAAAGUAUUAUAAAUAUAAUAUACUUCAAAGGAAGGUGUCAAAUGCGGUCUAGCAGUGUUUGAUGGCAAAUAUCAUAGGCUUUUAGCAGUUAAAGUAAAACAAUAGACCACUUUCGAGAUCAUCCGUCACCGGAAAAAAACUCGUCAAUUAUACGCGCCUUUGUGACGUCAUUUACCAGAUAGAGGGGCUCGCCUGUAUUCCUGCACUAUAAACAUUCAUCAAGCGUCGUAGUGAUCGUCAUUUUGCAGGAUAAAACUAGAAAUAAGGUUUGUUCAGUAGGUACUUAAUCACAAUUCCCUAAUGACAGCGAUGCAGAUUGUUCAUUAUGAUAAUUUAAUUUGCCAAAUAAUUCGUGCAAUAUAGCUUGAUAGAUUUUCAACCACUCGCUCAACAUUGAAACAAAAGUCACAACGCACCUAAACGCACUAGUGACAUCACAGGCACUUGUUUCUGUCCAUUGGAAGACCCACUAUCAACGUAUAUUUAUCGUAGUUUAUAAUCAAUUUCUUUGGUAAUCGAAGUUCCAAAACAUCCCUAACUCACUUUCCCAAGAAGUAGAUGAAAGCGCCAUGCUCACGGUCUGAUUGGUUAUUUCAUCAUGGCACGGCCCAAAAACAGUCUAGGUUAGAUUUUGUCUUAAUGAAAGAUGGAAAUACUGGUACAAGCGAAAUAGUCCGGCCGAUCGGUGAAAAAAUUGCUCAAAUAAUGAGGAAAGCACCAAAUUCUGCAUGAUGUUACAUGUUGGUGUACUGAUCAAUAUUAGCUAUGGACCCACCCUCAAAAUUCAAUAUGACGGCUAAUUUCAAGAUGGCCGCCAUAUAUUCUAAAAUAAUUUCAAUUGUUGCACAAACCACAGUGGAUUUGAUGCUGGAAGCUCAAAAUUCUACAAAUUUUAAUGAUUCGGCGUACUGAGCAAUAUAAGCUAUGGACCCUACCUCAAAUUUCAAUAUGGCGGCUUAUUUCAAGAUGGCCGCCAUAUAUUCUAAAAUAUUUUCCAGUAUUGCACAAACUACAGUGGAUUUGAUGCUGGAAGCACAAAAUUCAACAUAUUUUAAUGAUUUGGUGUACUUAGCAAGAUUUUAUUUUAAUCUAUCUUUGAAAUUUAAAAUGACGGCUAUUUUCAAAAUGGCCGCCUAGAAAAAAAUGCAAAUAUUCAUUAUUGAGAAUUGACCUGAGUUUAAUCAUUUCAUUAAAGUAUAGUGUUAUUCAAUCUCUGUUACAGUUCUGUCCUUUUGAUUUUCCCUGGCUGGUCAUUUCCUAUACAAAGUAGUAGCUUUCAUAAACAGCAGCAGUAGUAGCUUUCAUUAAAAGCUGCAUGUUUGUUUUGUCUUACUUAGGUCAUACAUAAAAGCUGUGAUUUGAGAUCUAUCUGCCGAAAGAUAUUAUUCAUUGCCUAUCUUAUUUCUUGGUUUGCAAUAUUUUGCAAUUUGAAAUAUUAUACUGUGAUUUGGGAAUUGUAUAACAACAAAUCAGUGAAAUGGCAGGAAUUGAGAACAAGAAGGACACAAAUAUUGAAUUGGCAGAAACAGAAUCACUUGGGGAUAUGGAGAAAUCCAAAGCUUAAGACACUUUCACAGAUGACAACUAUAUUUAACAAUUGUACAAAGAAUUUUUAGCAGAUAGGAAAUCUAUUGCUUAAAGAACAGCUGAGAUUAACCGCAAUAUAAAACAGAGCGAAUCAUGAAUUGAUAGAAUAUGUUAUGGUCUCAUAACGAAGCAAGCUGAACAGAGAGGCAAUAUAUAUUAAUAAUGAACAGAUGGGAGCAAUAUAUCAGCAACUUCAGCAGUCUGAACAGAUGAUAGACCACAAGGCUUGUAGUAAGCGCUUGGCGGAAUUGACGGUCAAAACAAUGAGAAAUUCAAUGAUGUGGUGAGACGGAUGGAUGAGCUGACAACAACUGAGGAAGGAGACACAGUUCAAUUUAAAAGUGCAUUUGAACAGCAGGAUACUUUCAAAAAAAUGGCAUCUGUUGUAAGUGAAGUAUUGGAGAAGCGAAAUAAAGAAGAAAAAAGUUACUGCAAUGGGCACAUCAUCUAAGCCAAAAUUCGACCUUUAAGCCGGUACAACACAAGUACACCAAAAGUAUAUAACAAACUUCUUGCCUUAGAUCUUUCCCCAAUAAUUCACAUGAGCCAUCAACCGCACAAACUCUGUUGAAUGCAAAUAUGGUGUCUUCAACUAAAGUCGAUAGUCCUAUUGCAGGGCCCUUUGCCCUGAUGAGACAGUUCAAAUCAUUCAACAACAACCUCCAUUUAAGAACAGAAACCUCUAGUACUGAUAAAGGAUACCAUCAAAAGGUUUAUGUCUUCUUACGGACACUUACAACCUAGAUAUAGGAAGAUGUGGUGUGAGUGCCAAUGAGACAACUCUCCAUACAAAUAACAAUUUAAAAAGUAAACCAUUAUAGGUUAAAGUACGGCCUUCAACACGGAGCCUUGGCUCACACCGAACAACUAUAAAUCAAUCAUAUGUGGUUCAGAGCUGAACACCAUUACAGAAACAAUUGGCUGCAAGUUGAUCUAUCAAGUUUCUUCCAUGCUGACUGCAGUGCCUACUAACGGUAUCAUCUCUGUCGAGUCAAUGACAAAUCCUCCUCCUCCCACAUUUAUUACUCCAAUUAUGACAACAUCAUCAGCUUCUGGAGCUCUACAGGCUUGCCACAACGUUACAGUAAGCUGACUCCACUGACCAAUCUAGGAAAGGCCAAAGGAAACUAAUGGAGAGUGGCAUCAGCUCUUCUUCAGACUCCUUUUUGGAGAGAGAAUAUACACGAUGGCAAGUACAUUCUGGUGCAAAGAACCGGAUUCGCGCUGUUUUUUCCCAUAGCAUUGAAAUUAAAAUUGAUUUAUAAAAGAAAAAACAUUCAGACCAGGUUGGAAGCAACGCAUUCCUUCUAAAGAUAAAGAUUCUGCAAGGCAUGUAAAAGAGAGGAACGUAGAAACGAUCAACAAGGCGUUUAAACAAUUGAAAACCUCAAUAUCCAACCAGAUAGCGAUAUAUGGACCAAAACAGUCAAUUAUGCCCAUCGGCAAGUCUUCUCUGCUGAUGGAGUAGUAUCACCGACCGAUAAAGGGAAUAUGAGCAGUGCUUUGGAAAAUGGUUCGUAACCUCACUCAAAUUGUCACAAAACUAGCUGGUGUUAUGCUUUCAACUAAUCAGCGUAACAGUGGAUUGGCCGAUCAAUAUAACCUUGGGCCUUCUGAUCAAUAUAAUAGUGGAAGAUAACCAUAUCAAAGGAAGAUCAUCUGAUAAAUAGAGACAAGUUGAAGAGCCCAUAUCCAUAUAAUCGCAGUAGAUCGCCAGAUAAAUUCAAGUGUAAUGCAUAUCGACCAGAAACAACCAUACCAAACCAAAGAUGAUAUAGUCCAUAAGGACAACGUUUAGCAUCUCCACGGAAAAACUCCAGAAAUCGCAGUUAUUUCAGGCAACAGCCACCUUCAACCCAACAACGGAAUCUUUAAACAACAACGGGUCGGACCAGUAGGCCAACGCUCGAUUCCAAAGUCUAUUUGCCAUGAAAUAUCACCUCAUGACAAAACCGAACAAAGGCCCACGUCUUCUUCCGAUAUUGUCAUCAAGACUAACCAUUAUAAAUAGCCUAGCAAUACGAGAUAUUAUAUGUGACCAGAAUGUGAGCAUAAAUGUGGACACUGUUGCAAUAAUAACAUUACUGAAUGAGAAUUUUUUCUUAGACAUUGAAGAUAUGGAGACCGUAACGAGAUUUGGUUGAACAGCUGGUUUUUGGGAAGAUUUAAAAGAACAACCUCUCUAGACAUUGAUAGAAAAAAAAUAAAAUGGGAUGUAUGCAAAGCGCCCUUAACAGACAAUGAUAUACUUGGGCUAGAUAUUUUGGACACACUGGGCGCAGUGAUAAAUCUGAGUACUCCCACACUUACCAUCAACAACAAAGUGAAACAUGCGGCAUUUGUUAACAGUGGAGGUGAUAUUUCAACUCAGCAAAUUUGCAUGAAACAAACAAUCACAGUUCCGCCAAACUCUGAAAUGACUAUUAUCAUUCAGUAAAACUAAUAAAAGUGCUAACCAGGAGUUCGUCUAAUAACCAUGCCCGCUGACUAGUUGGAAAAAAAAAUUGUUGUCCCUUAUUUAUUUUAAAUGAUGGCAACUGUCACAUCCGCCUGAAGAAAGCUACACCUAUAGAUAUUGGUUUCAUAGAAUAAUUUGACGAUAUAGUGGGCACGACAGAUGAAACCUGAUAAGUGACGUAAGAUGUGGCAUUGACGAGACACUAAACAAGAUGCCCUCGGCACUGCCUCAAAGUUCAGAUAAGUUACCUAAUAUGCCACAUUUAACCGACCUAUAUAUCAAUGUUCAAUCGACUCACUUCAACCUAUUUCAUUCCAACCAUUAAAACUGAAAGCGAUGAAAGAACAUUUACAAUAACAUCUUACAUAUUGAUUAUCAAUUUGAUUUUCAUUAUUAUUUUUUUUUUGUAUAUAUAUGCAGCCAUAUUUGCAAAUGUAUGCGUUCUAGAAAUAACCAAACUAUUUUAUUUAUAUUUAAAAAUUAAUUGAUAACAAAUUCAAUAAGAACUUGAAGACCAUUUUUUAAGGAUCAUUACUUUAAUUUUCGAAAUUAUUUAAAAUACCUUGCGGACAAUCUUAAUAUUUAUAACGUUUUUCCGCCAUCUUGAAAAUGGCAGCCAUAUUAGAUUUUUCUGAGUGGGUCCAUAGCUAAAAUCAAAUGGUAUACUACCAAGAACUACUGUGCAAAGUUUCAUGCUUUCCUCAUCAAGUGAGCAAUUCUGCUCUAUAUCUGCACCAAUCGGCCGGACUAAAAGCUUAGUUUAUUAAUGUGUAUCAUUAAUCAAUAUAUAUGUGUCAAUAUAUGUUUCUCACUUGUAACCUAUAAAUUUUGCCGAGGCAUGAGGUUGGUGCGUGGAUUAGAGUUCCGGGGAGAAAAUUUUAAUGACUGAAUUUUCGGCUCUCCCUUGACAGUCACACCAUUUCAAAGUAUGGUCUUGAGAAACAAUGAUAGUUAGUCUGAAGCGGACGACAAUGGCUGACCUAUAUAUGUUAAGAGAGAACGCUAUCUCUUGCACGUAAAACCCUUGCAGAUUUUGAUAAAGAGCAGGCUAGUAUGACGCUACACCCGCAUACGGCGCAUAGGAAUUGAUAUAAGUUAUAAUAACUUGUUUCCCAAUCCACUAUAAAUAAACCUGUUUAAACUAAACGUUCAAGACCCCAACCCCCGAAUAUAUUUGAUUGACUAAUAGUAAUACAACACCAGUAAUCCAGCAACCAUUGACAUAAAAUUCGCUUGAUUUUAUUUUUAUGUAGGGUCAGCUUGUGUCCGCAAGAUUAUCUCUAUAUAGUAUUUCACUUGUGUUCAGUCCUGUUUUCUAGUAAAUAUAUAUAUAUAGAGGUAGUUAAUGAACAGAAGCUCAAAGAUUUUUUGUUAAUUAUGGUGACUGUAGUCUGUCAGGGGUUUAUUGAGGCAGUUCUAGCUUGAAACUUUAAUUUCUCGCUAAUUUUACCACAAAAUAUUUCUCGUCACGCUUCGCUUGCCAAUAUAUCAAUAUUGCACCCACUCAAUAAUUUCUAUAAAAAUUUUGUCUUGCCCCGCUAGGCAAAAAAAUAAUUUUUGAGAUCCCGCCUAACCUAUCUUUUUCAAAGACAACUAUGAAUACCUAGAAGUGUCCACUGGAUUUUUACCCUGCCACACAAUCUCCACUUAUUUAUUUAGAGAAACCAUGCAUAUGUGACCCUUACUGGUUACAGGUAUUGUUAAUAAAGAAACUUGUAUUAAACUAGAUAUCACUGGAAUCAGAAUUUUCUUUAGUUUAUAACACAAUAAAAGGAAAGUAUAAUUUUUACAUAAUAAAAAAGUUCUUUUCAGAGAAAAUAUAAAAAAAAAGCCGAAUCUGAACAUAGAAAAAACCUUUUAUCAAGUCAUGUGCAUACCCAUGUAGGCAUGAUAUAUAGGUAUAGGAAGACGUGGUAUGAGUGCCAACGAGACAAACAACAAGCUAUAAAGGGCCUCAAAAUUAUAAAUGUAAAACCAUUCAAACGGGAAAAAAAAUUGUCUAAUUUAUAUAAAAAAAAUAUAUACAGUUGUAUGUACAUUUCAGAUAAUCAAAACUAUGAAUUGAUAUGUGGUAUGAUUUCUAAUGAGACAAUUGCCCGCCAGAGUUAAAAAAAAAAAGUAGAUGUAAGCAAUUAUAGGCAACUGAACAGCCUCCAACAAUGAGAGAAACCCAUACCUGUAUGGUUGGCUAUUAAAAGGUCCCAACAUGAAAAAUGUGAAACAUUUCAAACGAAAAUAGCAAUGUUUUAGUUUAUAACAAAACAAUUUACAAAAAAAACCAGAUAUUACAGACAAUAACCAUUUACAACCACUGCACUACGUGCGCCAACAUAAUAUAGCGGGAUUAAAUUCCUGAGAGGGCUCAACCUACCCUCUUAUGUGGAACAAGGGUGUAACAAAAUGAGAUCAGUACAAGGUAAAACAUAAAUAACAUAGAAGCACUGACAACAGAGUACUUGCAGUAACUGGUUUCUAGUUUAGAGCUUAUUAACAAUUAAUAAAUAAAUCAUGUUCCCUGAGAGUAUUAAUCAGUAUACAUGCAAUGGAAUUUAUAGUGUAAGAACAUCAUUGACAGUUUGAGAAACACAUCACUUUGUACAAUGUCAAAAUAUAAAUAAACUAUCAACAGGAUGAUGGAUAACAAAUUUUCAUAACUGUUUAUAUGUAGUAAUAUAUAUUUAGUUAUGUUUUAAUUUCAGUAUAUUUGUGACCUGCUGUCUUUUUUCAAAUUUUCACUGGGUAGCAUUAACAGUUUCAGUUAAUUUGAUAAGGAAAAGGCUCUAAACAUGAUCAUGCAUGGUAUUUGUUAUGAGUGAUCUUGGGUUAAAAUAAUUUUUUUUCGACUAGUCCAGUGGAAUGAAAUUAAUAAACGAAAGUUAUUUUCAGCUGUGAAUAAUAAUCCAGAAGAAGAAUAUGCUAAUUCAGCUCUACCACUGCAACAUUUGAAUGAUGGAGAAUAUGCAAAUUCUGCAGACACACAAGGAUCCUCUGGUCUUAAUGUACGUAAAGAACUAUAUUAUUUCUUUUCAAUUACGCUAAUUUAAAUUAAAAGUAAUAAAAAUGCAUUAACAUAUAUAUUGUAUUAAAAAAUAAAUUCAACAAAAUUCAUGUGAAAUAUAACGCUUUCGCAUUUGUAAGCAUAAAGUCUUUUUAUCUGUUGCACAGCUCAAUUACAAGGCAAGUAGGUAGCAAUACCUCUCGUUGUCAAUUCUUUACUAUACUAAACAACACUCUAUCAUUCUUUUUAACUCCCAUUUCAAAUAUGCAAUUUUUGUUAAACAGAUGUAUCAACAUACAUUUCAUGCAUCACUUCAUUGUAUUAAAACAUUUGCAGUUCGAAAGUUCAUUACUUCAUUGUUUUAAAAACAUUUGCAGUUCGAAAGUUGAAUUGAUUAUGACAUUUUUAAUGUUCAAAUCAUGUGGUACUAUGCACUGAAAGGAAGGGUUUCCCUACAGUGGAUGUGUCACCAUAGGAAGCAAUGAUUGUCAGGAAGGUCAACCAAUUGUGUUUGGCAUGUUGGGUUCUGAUUUGCACCUUUUGAUUUUUAGCAACCACGAACGAACUUGUCUCAUAUUUUUUUUAAUUUCUGUACAUUAAACUCAUUUUCAGGUAAACAGAUGUGAUUUUAUUUCCGAGACAAGUGCUAAUGACCAUCCGCAAGAACUUGCGGUCAUCCGAUGUUCAUUAAAUCAGUACUUUGAUUAAGAACUUUUGUUUUUCAUAUGAUUUUCAUUUAACC
RNAcentral lists this long non-coding RNA (24511 nucleotides) under Mytilus galloprovincialis (Mediterranean mussel). The record is from RNAcentral. Lineage: Eukaryota; Metazoa; Mollusca; Bivalvia; Mytilida; Mytilidae.